GAUGAACGCUAGCUACAGGCUUAACACAUGCAAGUCGCGGGGCAGCAUGGGGGUUGCUUGCACUCCCCGAUGGCGACCGGCGCACGGGUGAGUAACGCGUAUUCAACCUGCCCUUCACCACGGGAUAACCCGGCGAAAGUCGGACUAAUACCGUAUGUUGUCCAUUGACGGCAUCCGAUUUGGACGAAAGGCUUGGCGGUGAGGGAUGGGGAUGCGUCCGAUUAGCCAGACGGCGGGGUAACGGCCCACCGUGGCUACGAUCGGUAGGGGUUCUGAGAGGAAGGUCCCCCACACUGGAACUGAGACACGGUCCAGACUCCUACGGGAGGCAGCAGUGAGGAAUAUUGGUCAAUGGGCGUAAGCCUGAACCGGCCAAGUAGCGUGCAGGAGGACGGCCCUAUGGGUGGUAAACUGCUUUUAUGCGGGGAUAAAGUGGCCCACGGGUGGGCUUUUGCAGGUACCGCAUGAAUAAGGACCGGCUAAUUCCGUG
Molecule: ribosomal RNA, 490 nt
Filed under: uncultured bacterium
Lineage: Bacteria
Description: partial 16S ribosomal RNA
Rfam family: Bacterial small subunit ribosomal RNA
Source: RNAcentral